ACAGGGGGGGCGAGCGUUGUUCGGAAUUACUGGGCGUAAAGGGUUUGUAGGUGGCUUGCUCAGUCAGACGUGAAAUCCCUCAGCUUAACUGGGGAACUGCGUCUGAUACUAGCGAGCUUGAGUGCAGGAGAGGAACGCGGAAUUCCAGGUGUAGCGGUGAAAUGCGCAGAUAUCAGGAGGAACACCGGUGGCGAAGGCGGAUCUCUGGGCCAUUACUGACGCUGAGGAGCGAAAGCGUGGGGAGCGAACAGGA
RNAcentral lists this ribosomal RNA (253 nucleotides) under uncultured prokaryote. Its description in RNAcentral is "partial 16S ribosomal RNA". It matches the Rfam family "Bacterial small subunit ribosomal RNA", at positions 525 to 777 of the family's 1533-position model. The record is from RNAcentral.